Monodelphis domestica (gray short-tailed opossum) is the source of this 2432-nucleotide long non-coding RNA. Lineage: Eukaryota; Metazoa; Chordata; Mammalia; Didelphimorphia; Didelphidae. The record is from Ensembl.
CUUUCUCUUUCUUUAUUUUUCUUCCUUUUUUCCUUCCUUCUUUCUUUCUUUCUUUCUCUCUUUCUUUCUCUCUUUCUUUCUCUCUCUCUUUCUUUCUUUCUUUCUUUCUUUCUUUCUUUCUUUCUUUCUUUCUUUCUCUCUCUCUCUCUCUCUCUCUCUCUCUCUUUCUUUCUUUCUUUCUUUCUUUCUUUCUCUCUCUCUCUCUCUCUCUCUUUCUUUCUUUCUUUCUUUCUUUCUUUCUUUCUUUCUUUCUUUCCUUCUUUCCUUCCUGUCUUCUCUCUCUCUCUCUCUCUCUCUCCCUCUCUUCUUUCUUUCUUUCCUUCUUUCUUUCUCUUCUUCUUCUUCUUCCUCUCUCUCUUCUUCUUCUUCUUUCUUUCUUUCUUUCUUCUUUCUUCUUUCUUCUUCUUCUUCUUCUCUCUCUCUCUCUCUCUCUCUCUCUCUCUCUCUCUCUCUCUCUCUCUCCCCCCCCCUCUCACACACACACAUGUUUAAGAAACACUUCCUAACAUUCAUAAAUUAGCUUUCUGAAACAGUUUCUAUUUCUGUUAAGGUUAUAUAUGGGGUAAAAAAACAAAGUUUAACAAUUAAGAAUUUGGUUUGGCUUCUAAGUACACAUCUAUGAAGCCUGAUGAAAUGGCCAAGGCUCUUUUAGUCCUCAACAGGAUCUCUCUGCCUUUCAUUUAGAGUUAGAGAAAAAAAUAUAUGGGCAGUCUUCCUUUCUAUAGAUUCUCCUGUAUAAGAAGAGCAGUUUCUAGUUCUAAUUAAAAAUAUGUUAUCAUUAACUCUGGGCACUAAGAGUAAGCCCAGACAUUUAAGCAUCUUUUUUUUUUCAUUUUAAAUAGUAUAUCACAUACUGUAGCAGAAAUUUUUUCUUUAUAGACUCUAUUUUUUAAAACUCACAAAAACCCAAACCUCACAGCAACUUUGACAGAUAUAUUCAUGAUCAAAACAGUUCAGAAAUAUAAGAUCUUAAAAUGGGCAAAGGGCAGCAGGUUUUUGAAUAGGCUUCAUCAGUGGAGGGGAGAGGUCAGCGGUGGAGAUUAGUUAUAGGAGCUAUUAAGUCUCCUCUGUGACAUCCACAGCGCUAGCUGCUUAACAUAAUCAGCUGCAAUCAGCAAAAAUGCUGUUUAUUACAAAACGUUUUUCUUUUUUAAUAUUUUACAUUGUUAUGUAAAAUGGUGCAGUGUAGGGACACACACAUUUCACCAGGUACAAAUUGGACAAAUUGUGGGCAAUAAUAAUUUGUGGCACUUCUCAUGACAUCUUUUGAAGUUAAAAAUUGUUGAGAGAUACCUCUCCAAAGCUAUUUUCUCUAAUAUGGUUAAUGGUUUGCACUGGAGUUGGCAAUCCACUCCUGGUACAAUGUCGUUACCAUUUAUUGGAUGGGAGAAAAUGUUUGUGGGAUCGGAUAUCAAUCAGGGAAGUCUGCAAUUUGGGAUGAUGUACAGGGUUCUGAUCACCCUUAAUGUCUCUAGGCAUGAAAACCAGCUAAGAAGGGUUUACCUCUCCACCCCACCCCCAGUCUUCUCCAAUCCACAGAAACGUUUUAUGUUCAAGUAACAGAAAGCCUAACAGUGGACCAUUACAGAUUUGCCAUGAAUUGUACUCAUCAGUAACCCAGACCAGCCAAAUGACAGAAAACAGCCCAAGUGGGAAGAUUGGACUACCUUUCUCAAUAUUUGCCUAGUGAUUUGUGAGAGAAGCUGUACUUUUCUUUUUUCCCUUUUUCCCUUUAAACCCUUACCUUCUGUCUUAGAAUCAAAACUAAGUACCAGUUCCAAUGCAGGACAGUAAGGGCUAGGCAGUUGGGAUUAAAUGACUUGCCCAGGAUCACACAGCUAGGAAGAAAAUGUCCUUUUCUGAUGGAAAUGAGGAGACGAGGCAGUUGUUUGCUAGUCUCCUAGUCUAUCUCAAGUGGUACCCUUCCCUCUAAGGAUGUCCCACAGGACAUUAUCAAUCCCAGUGAGCUCUGAUUCCUUUCAUCUGAUUUCUACGGGCUGGUUGAUUGGCUGUUGUACUUUGUACUUGAAGAGGACCCAGUGAUACCACUGGUGACGUCGUUUGACUCAUACAUAAAUUGGAUUUAAGUGAGGCAGAGCUGCACAAAGUCAUCAGCCUCAUUCUAUCUUCUAGAGUCUUCGAAGUCCAGUGGCAAGGCAAAAGCCAGGAUGAUUGGCAAUGGUUCUGGAUGCACUGGAUGGCCUUGGCAUCUUCCAACGUUUUAUCAAACUCUAAAUGCUCCACAGCACCUGCUUCCGCUGACUUCAUGGUCAUUGGAACAAAUUGUUCUCAUCCGCUCCUUCUCUUUCUGAGAGUUACCCUGACAGGGACGUUCUAGUCACUGGCCAAAUAACUUGAGAAUUUUCUAUGCCAACUGGAAAGCAGUACACACUGUGAAUAAAGCUAAACUUUUGUUUUUAAAUAUAUUCUGA